GGAGGUGUGCCCGAGCGGCCGAAGGGAACGGUCUUGAAAACCGUCGUGGCAGCGAUGUCACCGUGGGUUCAAAUCCCACCACCUCCG
This 87-nucleotide transfer RNA is filed under the name Streptomyces adustus. It matches the Rfam family "tRNA". Rfam says of the family: Transfer RNA (tRNA) molecules are approximately 80 nucleotides in length. Their secondary structure includes four short double-helical elements and three loops (D, anti-codon, and T loops). RNAcentral also lists the same sequence under 10 other names. The record is from Rfam by way of RNAcentral. Lineage: Bacteria; Bacillati; Actinomycetota; Actinomycetes; Kitasatosporales; Streptomycetaceae.